Molecule: long non-coding RNA, 2379 nt
Organism: Passer montanus (Eurasian tree sparrow)
Lineage: Eukaryota; Metazoa; Chordata; Aves; Passeriformes; Passeridae
Exons: 3
Source: RefSeq, a predicted model, not a curated record
AGGUCCUUGAGCAGUAUGAACAAGAAGGGUUUAAUUUCCUAGCCAAAGUUUUUAAUUCUUCACAUUCCUUCUUGGAAGACUUGACAGGUCUGACUUUAUUACACCAGGAGACACAGGCUGCUGAGAUCUGGGACAUGAGUGAUGAUGAAACAGUUUGAAAUCAGGUGCUGAGGAGGAGGAGGAUGCUCUGGAGUGCAGCCCUGCCUUUUAUCUCUGCUUUGAGGAGUUAAUGAUUGCUUACCCCUCCUGGCUGCUGGAAAGACAAACAAACAGAACCCACGUUUUGCCAUGAAUAACUUCUCUGGAAAAGCAGUCUCUCAUGGACAGAACUCACCAUGUUUUCAUUUUAUUGUGUAAAUAACUGCAGCAAUGUGUUUGUCUUUAAACCUGGUCUGUCUUUUUUUUUGUGGGUUUUUUUCUUUUUUUUAAGCUUCUAAAUAUGGCUUACAUAUAAAAAAUGCUGCUUAAGUAACUCUGGGUGGUUUGUUUGGGCCAGGUUUUAUUUUGCUUCUCAGUGGCCAUGUCCAAGCAGCAUUUCUGAAUGGCUUUUUUCAUCUCUCUCAGAUUUGGGGCACUUCAGGUGGAAUUUGUGAAGGUUGAGCACUUUCUGCUCUUGGGAGUUAAAUUUAAUGUUUAAAGGUGGGGAGGAGUGGGGAAGGAGCUGAACCUUCUACCACAGGAAUUAUUUGCAAACACAAAUUUCAGGUGCAGAUGUUCUUGAUGUGUCCAUGGAGUUGUUAUUCCCUGUGAAGAUCCCAUCUUUUCAUGCUAUGCAAACAAAGUGCUUUGACUGAUUUUUGCCCAGGAAAGACCAAAAUGCAUUUAUAUCCUGAUUAGGCUCCCCUGAAGCUCAGAGAAGGUUCUGUUCUGUGGUAAAAAAUCACUUUAGGAGGUGGUGGGUCAUUGAUUCAGUCAAAACCUGCAGGGAAAUGCUUCAGUGAAAUGAGAAAUUUGUUCCCUGACUUUGCUGUUCUUGGGUGUGGUCAUGCAGAACCUUGCAGGUGUUCAAAAAGAGGAAUUCUCUUUUCCUUUUUGGUUCAUUGAAUUUUUUCAAGUGGCUUAAUAAGCAAAACCAGAAGUUUGAAAAUCCUUGAGUUUAAAAAAAUAGCUUGAGAAAAUGGAGUUUUAAAAUCUCAGAGUACAUUUUACUGCAAAAUUGAAUCUAUUUGUCUUAACUUGGAACAGGUUUUAGAAGGAAAUUUGAAAUCCCUUUCAUAGCUUUAUAUCGUGGGGUUUAUGAGUUAACUCACUUAGAAAAAAUGCAAAUCACUUUAUCUGCCAAGCAGCCUCUAUUUCCCAGGUAUAUUAUGAAAAUUAGUUGGUCAAUCCAAUUAUUUUAGCUCCUUCCUUAACAUAAGCUCUGAAGACUUUUUUUUUUGUAGAAAAUUUCCCAGUUUCUCUCUCAUCAGAACAAGUUCAGUCAGGUCAAAAUAUGCAACUCCCAUCUUCUGAUCAGAAAUGAUUUAUUGAAACCUGCUGAGGUUUGCACCAAGUGUCUAAAAUAACCAUUAUUGUCUAAAAUAGCCAUUAUUGUCUAAAAUAGCCAUUAUUUCUAUUUAUUUAUUAUCAUAGUCAUUGUAUUUACAUCAUUUAUUACCUAGGGAAAUGUCUAGCUUAGGUAACUGAAGUGUAAUAUAAAAAUAUAUAUGAAUGCAAUAUAUUUUGAAAAUCAGAGCCUGGUAAAUGAGCAAGUCAUCUCUUGGUGGUCAGGCACUGAAGACUGAGACUGAAACCCUGAAAUCUGCAUUUUUAAAGCAGUUUAAAUACAUCAUGGCUUUGCUGGCAUGUUUUUAACCAUGCCAUAGUCCAGCUGGAGCCACAAGUUGGUGCCAAGACAGUUUAAAGGGAAUAAUCUGCUUUUUUUAUCUUUGGGAGCUGCUGACCGUGGAGUGUAAAUGGCUCUGCAGUUUGGGGUUAUCUAAGACUUGAAAGCUGCACAUCUUUCUGAGCCUGGUAAACAUUAAUAAUUGUUUUGAGUGCCUGAAACUCUGCCUGGGAGGUGUCUGUGCAGGGCAGGGAGGGUUCAGGCUCAGGGUUAGUGCCAUGUGUCCUUCCCUCUGUCACUGCAGGGCCACCAGCUCGGCCAGGCUGGGCUCUUUCCUGGCCAGCUGCUCCCCUCAUGUCCCUGAUGUGCAGAAACUCUUAAGUCUGGCUUGGAAUGUCUUCCCUUGUCUGACUGAAAUGUUGGUUUUGUUCUCCUUGUGGCCCAGAAUUGUUCUUGUUCCAGCAGAGCUGCUGGAAUUGUUUCCUCCUUGGGAGGGAAGGAAGGAGAGAAGCUUCCAUGUCUGUGCUCUGGAAGCAUUUGAGCUCUGGGUUUUGGUGUCCUGUCUUCCUUCUUUUCUUCUUUUCUUUUCUUUUCUUUUCUUUUCUUUUCUUUUC